AGGGGUGUAGCUCAGUGGUAGAGCUCAUGCUUUGCACAUGUGAGGCCCUGGGUUCAGUUCCCAGCAUCUCAA
This 72-nucleotide transfer RNA is filed under the name Heterocephalus glaber (naked mole-rat). It matches the Rfam family "tRNA". From Rfam's summary of the family: Transfer RNA (tRNA) molecules are approximately 80 nucleotides in length. Their secondary structure includes four short double-helical elements and three loops (D, anti-codon, and T loops). The record is from Rfam by way of RNAcentral. Lineage: Eukaryota; Metazoa; Chordata; Mammalia; Rodentia; Bathyergidae.